Molecule: long non-coding RNA, 1373 nt
Organism: Oreochromis aureus
Lineage: Eukaryota; Metazoa; Chordata; Actinopteri; Cichliformes; Cichlidae
Source: Ensembl
UGGACAAGUUCACGGUGACAUAAACCAAACAGUUUAGGAUGUGUUAUCAAUGCAACAGAUUGGCAGAACCUACCCUUGACGAAACAAAGAUGUGCGAACAAAGAGUUUUAAAACAGCCACUAAGAAUUAUUUGCACAGUUAUGUGAUCACAUUCACUUUUGUCUUAAACACAGCAAGCUUGACUGUUAUUUAUCAUGUUGGUUAUGUAGCAUGUUUUUUUUAUUACAUUGGGUGCAGAUGUAAGUAAUUCUUCCAUUAAUUUCCUUAAAUUGAAACAUUUGAACUGUUCAAUAUAGAUGGCCUGAGUUAAUGCUAAGCAGGAUUCUUCUAAAUUUUAAUUUAAUGAAAAAUCAAUCAAACCAACCUAACCUCCUGAAUAUCAGUAGUUGUUUUUUUUAUUGUUUUUGGGGGGGGGGGUUGGUGCAAGAACCUUAAUAACUAUAACUAUGGAUCCUUCAUAUUGUCAAUAUUUUCUGAGUUGCAUGCUGUAAAUCUGCACAGGUGUGACUCAAAAUUUGGCACUUUGUUUAAUCCAGAAGGAUAUGACGACUAAAAGAAGAUUCAGGUAUCAAAAUGUAGGUUAGAAAAUUAGACCUUUCAAGGCUACAACUUGUUCUGAUCAGCCACCUAUCCUACAUGGUGAUGUGAUCCUAUCCAAAUAACCAUUUGCGUAACAAACAGAUAACUCAUUGCAGACACCAAUGCAUCUCUCUGUUACUCUGCGUCUAUCGAAGACAUUAAAUGCAAUGAUUUGUCCCUUGAUUAUUAAGCUCAAAGGUACACUAUGUUUGGUAUGGUUGGUGGUAUGCAUUUUGAAUACAGUGUCAUACUGCAAGUGCAAAAUUGGUUUUGGGGGAUCUUUUGGGGGGGGGUGUUGCAACAUUGAUUGUGAGUGGGCUUGACUAAAUAAGACAAAAAAAGUUAUGGUGCUGUAAACGAAACACUUUACAAAAUCUGUAGCUCAUUUUUCUAUAUUUGUGCUGCAGGUUUUGACGAGUGUUUUUCUUGUCUUUGUUUUUUUGUAGUGCACAAGUUUGAAAUGCUGUAAGAACUGUUUUCUGUUGUUUAAAUUAUACUGCAUACUUUGAAAAACCAUUCAAGCAUUAUAUUUGUAACAAAUCAAGGUAAGACAUAUACAGUAUUUUAAGAUCUUUUUUUCCUUGUAAAGGCUGCUCAUAAUGUCCUUUGCUAAUCAACAUCAAAUAUUUCCAUCUUACGUUUAUAGCUCUGGGUGGAUGUAUUAAAAGUAAAGGUACAUUUAGUUUACUGUGUUUUGUAUGUUUUAUAAAAACUGCCCCUCCUGUUUCACUGUAUGAAUUUUUUUCUUCCCCACAACAGGGUCUGUUCUCACAUUUUAAGCUAGUCAUCCAUUA